GAUGAAUAACUGCAUUGUAGGCAUCUGUAAUGAUAUAUUGCAACUGGUUCCUGAAAGCCAUAUGCUGAAGAUGAGUAUCAAGUUUGUUGUAUGGACAAGAGAUUUUGUUAAUUUGGAAUAUGUGUUCAGACACAGAAUUUCUUGCAUAUGUCAGCACCAGUUAUGUGAGCAGCAGUUACAAUGAGCAGCAAAGAAAAGUGAAAAUUAAAUAAUGUAAAACUAUAAAAUGUGUAAAUCAGGGCGACCAACUUUGUUUAUCUGAAAUAUUUUUUAUUGUUUUAGGAAUGGUAACCUUUUCUGUGGAGAUCUAGAUUUCUCUGAAUGCAUUUUAAAAUUUGUUUUAUGUUGUCCUUUUCUUUUUGUCUUGGAAAACAUUCAUACUCCUAUUUGACUGCAGAUCCACAAAUCUAAUUAAAUUUCUGAAAUGUAUUGGCAUGAGUCACACAUUGACCUUUUGCUUUUGCUUAUUGCAUAGAAGUUUAAAUAUCAAUGUCUUCUACUGCUGUUUUUAGAAGUGGUUUAUGAGAAUAUGAAUAAGAAUAUGAAAUGAAAAUGUUUCUCAGUUUGUCAUUGUCAGACAAUGAGAAUCUUCAUCUUCCUGUCAGAUAUCAUCUCUUAUGUAACACUUUGAGCUUAAUUGUUCUGUAAUUUGUACUUCAGUCCAGAGGCUCUUGCCGUUUUCCUGGGUUAUUUCAUCUGUGAUAUUUCAAAUUAUUUAUUUGUCAUUAAAAUAGAGCUAUCUCUUACCUCUUGCC
This 755-nucleotide long non-coding RNA is filed under the name Gallus gallus (chicken). Lineage: Eukaryota; Metazoa; Chordata; Aves; Galliformes; Phasianidae. The record is from RNAcentral.